RNAcentral lists this microRNA precursor (58 nucleotides) under Ovis aries (sheep). RNAcentral describes it as "miRNA (ENSOARG00000024513.1, ENSOARG00020052759.1)". Lineage: Eukaryota; Metazoa; Chordata; Mammalia; Artiodactyla; Bovidae. The record is from RNAcentral.
UUGCCGUCCCCCCUUCCUCGUCUUUUCCCCUCAGGAGAAGUCGGGAAGGCGGCGGCGG